GCGGGAAUAGCUCAGUUGGUAGAGCACAACCUUGCCAAGGUUGGGGUCGCGGGUUCAAGUCCCGUUUCCCGCUCCA
This 76-nucleotide transfer RNA is filed under the name Desulfurella acetivorans. Its description in RNAcentral is "tRNA-Gly". It matches the Rfam family "tRNA". Rfam says of the family: Transfer RNA (tRNA) molecules are approximately 80 nucleotides in length. Lineage: Bacteria; Pseudomonadati; Campylobacterota; Desulfurellia; Desulfurellales; Desulfurellaceae. The record is from RNAcentral. RNAcentral also lists the same sequence under 9 other names.